Molecule: ribosomal RNA, 382 nt
Filed under: uncultured bacterium
Lineage: Bacteria
Description: bacterial SSU rRNA
Rfam family: Bacterial small subunit ribosomal RNA
Source: RNAcentral
UACGUAGGCAGCGAGCGUUGUUCGGAAUUACUGGGCGUAAAGAGUGUGUAGGUGGUGCUCUAAGUCUGGUGUGAAAUCUCCUGGCUUAACUGGGAGGGUGCGCCGGAAACUGGGGUGCUCGAGUAUGGGAGAGGUAAGCGGAAUUCCUGGUGUAGCGGUGAAAUGCGUAGAUAUCAGGAGGAACACCUGUGGUGUAGACAGCUUACUGGACCAUCACUGACACUGAGACACGAAAGCGUGGGUAGCAAACAGGAUUAGAUACCCUGGUAGUCCACGCCCUAAACGAUGCAUACUUGGUGUGAGCCAUUCAUUUGGUUCGUGCCGGAGCUAACGCGUUAAGUAUGCCGCCUGGGGAGUACGGUCGCAAGGCUGAAACUCAAAG